RNAcentral lists this transfer RNA (58 nucleotides) under Caudoviricetes sp. RNAcentral's name for it is "tRNA-OTHER". It matches the Rfam family "tRNA", at positions 16 to 71 of the family's 71-position model. From Rfam's summary of the family: Transfer RNA (tRNA) molecules are approximately 80 nucleotides in length. Their secondary structure includes four short double-helical elements and three loops (D, anti-codon, and T loops). The record is from RNAcentral. Lineage: Duplodnaviria; Heunggongvirae; Uroviricota; Caudoviricetes.
UGUUCCGUACAACAGCCUUCUAAGCUGUGGGUCUUGGGUUCGAACCCCAACGGAAUCA